UGUAGGGGAAAGCAGCCCAUAGGAACCAGUUCCAACGAGGCUCAUUCAGGUUAUUUUUCUCUCCUCUUUUCCCUGUUCUUUCCUCUCUGGGCUUUGUUGUUGUUUAGGAAAUACAGGCUCUUGUGGUGAGAGACUCCCAGCUUGCCAUGUGGGGAACAGGCGGGCUGGUACUUUGAGGUCCCCAAGGCAGGGAAGAUAGAGAGGGACCCAGUAGAGGAAGGAGUGCCAUCUGUGGGACAGAGGCCCCCACACAAGCUGGACAUGCGUCUGGCUUUGGGGCAAGCCAAGGAACUGGGUCUCUGAGAGACUGGCAGAGACAGGCAUCUGUGUAUUAAGUCCAAGGAGACCCUCAAAUGUCCUUAGCCAGGGUGGGCUGGAACAUGUCUGUGACACACCGACCUACCUGCCAAUCAGAGGGGAGCUAACUCUUAUAAACCAGGAUGAGGGCACAGGAGUGACGAUGGCUGUUGGAAAGUCACAAAGAAAGACUGUGGAGGGGCCCACCAGCCACCAAAGGGCAAACGGAGAUACAGAGGAGUCUUCAGAGGCUCUGUGAAUGUCCAGGAGACCUGCCUUGGAAUGGGCCAGAGGAAUUCUUCUGACGACCCCUCAAGCCACCAGUCCCCAGCUGUCCCUUUUCCUACUGCACCAGAUGCAACCUGUGGGAAGAGGCAGGAGCUGGGGCUGGAGGUGCAGCUGUGCCUUCCCUGGUGAGAAGAGAUGAGGAAACCGAGUCACAGAAAGGCUAAGCCAAGGAAUAACCACGGGAAACUCUCUCAGCCCGCAGGCAAGGUAGAGGUGCUGCCAGUGCUGCUUGUUCUGCCUGAAGGUGGCCUGAUUGCUUGCUUUUUCAGGUCCUGCCAAGCAUUAAGAAGAAAAUGCUGAGCAAAGGUGCCGCGGACAGAGAAGUUCUACUUAUAUUGAGAGUAAACAAAACCCGAGAAGCACGUGGAUCUGCAACAUUGCAUUUUUCUUCUUGAGUCAGCACAGUGGCACUUUCUGCAGUCCUGAGACAGGUCUAAGGUGGGAGUGGAAGGUCCAAAAAGCAGGCCUGGGGGAGCCUGCCCAGCUAGCCAGGGGACAAACGCAAAGUCAGCUAGAGGCACUUCACAGAGAAAGAGCCAGGGCCACACGUGAGGAGCUCCUGGGGUAGAGGUCAGCUGAGGACAGGGGGUGGGCCCUGGGCAGGCUGGGUGGGAAGGGGCCAGGCAGCCCACUGGCACCGGGAUGAUGUCAGGGAAGAGGACUUGAGACCCAUGGCGCGGUGGUUCUGGGCAUGAGACGGGAGAGGCAGCUGGUCAGAAACAAAGGACAAGUAGUUCAGGGAGAAGGUGGGAGAGGACCAAACUGGCCUCAGAGAAGUUAUAGCAGGGAGCGGCCCAGAGAGCUGGCCCAGUGGACGUGAUGGGGAUGGGACAGAUGGGACCCUGGAGUGAGGGGGAGGAGGCAGAGGAGCCCCAGGCCCUGGGAUGCCAUGUGGAGUGUUAAGUCCCAUCCCCACCCUCUCAGCAAUUAGGUGCUCAGAAGUAGGAACAGCUGUUGCCCCUGGAUUAACCCUGAUCCUCCCUACCUACCUGAGGAUUAAAGGGGGAAGGAGGGACAGGAGCAGACCUGGAGGAGGGGGAGGAAAUGCAAGAACGGAAAGGUGACCUCUGGGUAAGAAGGCAUGAGAAAGGGACUCGUGGAAGCCCAGGCUUGCCUUGGACCCUGUGGCAGGAAAGAGCAUGGAGAAGGCGGGAAGAAGCCAAGUGUCUGGGCAGGGUCUGAAGAAAGAGUUAAGCCAAGAACUAACUGUUCUACUCAGGAAGAACUCACCCCCAGGAAAAGAGGAGGCAAAGAGAGAACAGGGGCACCUCUAGAUCAGGGUCAUCCAGACGAUGUCACCUGGGGCUCCAGGGACAUGAGGGAAGGAGAGCAGAACCAGUGGGGCAGGUGUCAGGGGCACCCUCGCCGCAGGCAACUUGCAGCAGCCUGUGGUCAUCCAGGACAGGCAAGUCAGCACCAUGGACAGGGCCCUCCUCCUCCUCCUCCUCCUCCUGCCCCACCUCUCCAGCCUGGGCCUCUCUGGCAAGCACCAGGCACUGCAGCAGCUGCCUGUGCCAAAUUUUGGCCUGUUCGCCCUCCCUUCCCCUUCCCCCACUGCCUGACCUCAGUGGCCUCGUGUGUCAUCUCUCCUCUCUCAGGAGCUGGGGCGACACACCUGAAUUCUGGGUGGAGUUAAGGGGUGAGCCCGGCCUGAGAGGAGAGCACGGCAGAUGAGUUUGUUGGAAGGUGGGUCUGAGGGGUGGUGUAGGUGGAGACAGAGGAAGUGACAUUCAGAGCCCACUACCAUACAAGAGGCCCGGAAGCUGACCAGGAACCGCUUUGAGGGUUCUCUUUGAUCCCUACUUCUGCUCUCCGGGUUCUGACCUUUGAGGACAAGACAGGAUAAAUUUAUCCCUGGUGUUGAGUUGCAGCUGUGGCAGUAAAACUUGCUCAGGCCCAAGUGAAGAGCAUGGGGACCACUGGUGGCUCCCCGGAGGAUCUCGGGUAUUCUGGGAUCACACACAUAACAGAGGAGGGACUUGGGCAGAAGUGGGUGCGUGACACUUACUGGUCAUCGAUGAUGUGCUUGCAGGAGGUGGAGACGAUGUAGCCAGCUGUGGAGGCCAUGAUGGCUUGGACGGAGGACACUAACCUGGGGAGACAGAGGGAGGAGUGGCAGGUGGGAAGGCGAGUGCCUUGACAUCUCCUCUUCACUAGUAGUUAUUUGCUUUGGGUUUGGUCACUUCUCAGGCCAUUCCUGGCUCACCUCCCAAGACGGGGCUUUCCCAGAUUCACUACCACCUCCAGAGUCCUGAGUUGCUCUGCCACUGUCCCUCAGUUUGCCCCAUUCCUGGUGGCCUUCCCCUUCCCUUGGCUUGUGAAUACUGAGUGGCCUUCCUCUCAGGACACAGGGAGGUCACCCUGAGGUGAAACAAUGCUGGGAAUGUGUGGCUGAGAGCAAAGCCUCUGCCCAGGAGGGGACGCCCCGGAGGGCAAGGGGAGCCUGUGCUGUUCCUGCCCCACUUGGCUGCCCAGUCACCAUGCCACCCAUUACUCGGGCCUCUGGCCCUGCCGUGAACCCAAAUUCCCCCUGGCCACUUUCCCACUGUCUCCUUGACUGCCACGGAGCUCCCCUCUGGGUGCUGGCCCUAAUUCCAGGGUUGUAGAGAGUUCCACUGUUCACUCCUCUGUGCCUCGUCCCCAACACUCAUCCUGAUUCACACAUGGUGCUCUAGCCCUUGUUCCCUGACAUCUUAUAGGAAUGUUUUAGUCACAUGCUGGCCCUGUUUGGGAGGUGGGAGGGUGGCUGGGAGAAGGGGAGAAAAGCAGUCUGAACACUAGUAGACCAGAUGGCUGGUUUGGGGAGGUCUCCUGGGAAGGUGGUGGUAUUCUCAGUUUAAAAGAAGUUUAAAAAACAAAAACUUGCCAAGAUAAAACAGCUAUGAAAAUUGGUUAGAAGCUGGAUUUUGAACCAAUGUUUGCUUAACUCCAGAGUCAAAAAUGAGCAAAACUUCAAAAGGAACUCAGGAGGACACCAAAACUAAGGACCACAGACUUGGUCAAGGAACUGUGGUUUUACCUUGGAUGAAGCAGAUCAAAGCAAAUAGAGACAAGGUACAUGGAGUGGAACCCAGCAGCACUUUACCACCAAGCUACAUCUCCAGCCCUUUUUAUAUUUUAUUUUUUUAAAUUUUGAGACAAGGUUUCAAAGUUGUCCAGGGUGGCAUCAAACUUAUGAUCGUCCUGCCUCAGCCUCCCAAGUCACUGAGAUUAUAGGUACAUCACAUCCCCCAGCCUCCAAAAUGUCUUGCUGGAGUUGAGCACCCGUUAUGCCCAUUGGAUGGAGUCCUCCAGCUCAGACAUCUUUGUGUUAUUUUCAGGAAUUUGCAAUCCCUCCUUGAGAGAUGCUAAUUCACAUGACUCUCACCUAAACAUCUCCAUGAAGAAAGGAAAGGGAGUGUCAUCAUUAUUAAACCCAUUUUGAAGUGAGGAAUUUGAAGCUCAGAGGCUAAAGGACUUGCAAAAGAUUCCAUAGCCAGUGUUUUUUGGAACUGGCUUGAACUCAGGGGCACUCAACCCUGAGCCGUAUCCCCAGCCCUAUUCUGUAUUUUAUUUAGCAACUAAGUUGCUUAGUGCCUUGCGGUUGCUGAGGCUGGCUUUGAACUGACUAUCCUCCUGUCUCAGUCUCCCAAGCCACUGAGAUUACUGGUGGGUGCCACAGUGGCCAGCCAUAGCCAAUGUCUUUUGUUUUUGUUUUGGGGUACCAACCAUUGAAUUCAGGGGCACUUGACCACUGAGCCACAUCCCCAGCCCUAUUUUGUAUUUUUAUUUAGAGUCAGGCUCUCACUGAGUUGCUAAGCACCUCACUUUUUGCUGAGGCUGGUUUUGAAUUUGCGAUCCUCCUGCCUUAACCUCCAGAGCUGCUGGGAUUAUAGGUGAGCACCUCUGGGCCUGGUUUAUAGCCAGUGUCUUUUUUGUGUGUGUGGUGCUGCAGAUUGAACCCAGAUCCUUGUGCAUGUGAGGCAAGUACUCUACCAGCUGAGCUAUAUCCCCAACCCAUGGCCCGUGUCUUUUGCCUCCUAACUCCGAGCUGCAUCAGAUCCCACAUUCUCCUGCUUCCGCCACUACCUAGUCCUGAAAUGAAGCGAUCAGCUCCAGCAGCCCUGGCCCCCAGGAAAGAUACUCUCACCCUGGUCUUCUUACUUGGAUGCCACCAAAACAGCCUCUCUUGCCUCCAUCUGCAGUUUGGUGUAGUUCUGCAGGCCCCAACGGAGGACAGCGAAGAAUACUGGGAAGAAGACGCAACCUAGUACAAAGAGCAGGGCCAUGCCUGUCUGAGGUAGAGAAGGGGAAAAGAAAUGGUUGUGAGAACUCCUCAACCUUGCGGUGGUCCGUGAGAUCCGCUCAGCUGCAGCCAUUGAAAAUCAUUGCGUUUCUAACAUCCUUCAUCCGGGGUAAUUGAACAUCCUGGUGUUUGGUUUUGUUCUGUUUCAUUUUGUUUAAAUCUAGUAUUAUUUAAUUCAUUUUCCCUGCCAUCCCUGAAGCUGACCUACACCUCCUAGUCCAUCUCACACCUUAAAAUGGCUUCUCUUUCUCCUCCACCGCAGUGAUGUGCCUGCCCUUUCUUAACUCCACCCUGAUCAUCCUCCGUUCCUAUGUCACCCUUGACUCCUCCGAGGGGCUCAGACUUCUCACAGGUCUCACCUCUCAGCGACAAGGUGGGAGGACUGAGAGGGAGGUUGAUGUUUCUCCUCAGCACCCAAAACUUGGGAAAAGGAAGGGAGGGGGUGUUCAAAUUGUCAAAACACUUGAAAUUUUAAAAUAACAUUAAAAAAAAAAGCCAAAGUGUUUUUUACCCCAUAAAAACGAAAAAAAAAAAAAAAGAAAAAGGAAACCCUGAAAACACGGAUAUUUACAUAGAUAUUAUUUUUGCCUGGCAAAGCCUCCCCUCCCACCCGCUCCGAGGAGGAGAGGAGUGGGGAAGGCGCAGGAGGGACGCAGGUGGCCGGGGCCUGCCAUCCUCCAUCCCUGGAGUGCUUCUGAAGGGACCUUCUCAGGCUACAAGGAAGAUGUCAAACUGCAAGGGCACGAGGCUGCUCAGCCGAGGCAGUUGGAGCCCCAGGAGCAUCGCCCUCCCAUUGGCCAACCUCUUGACACGGGUGCCCUAUCGUUUAUUUCUGCUGGGGCGGAAGUGGGCAGGGCGUUCUAGCACCUUGUGUAGAAUUAGCCAAUUAGAGUUUCCUGACGACUUGAUGGACAGCGCAUUUCAGAGGGGGAGCUGGAAGAAAAGGAAUAGGAA
Molecule: non-coding RNA, 5824 nt
Organism: Ictidomys tridecemlineatus (thirteen-lined ground squirrel)
Lineage: Eukaryota; Metazoa; Chordata; Mammalia; Rodentia; Sciuridae
Source: RefSeq, a predicted model, not a curated record